UUGGUUUCUUUGUUAUUCCGACGGCCUAGUGCGGCUAUAGUCUCGGCUAAUCCUUACCGCUUUUUAUUUUUUUUUGUUAUGUUUUUAUCUUUUGUCUAAAGUUCAAGGUAAAAUCUCAUAUGGCGAUGAUAUAUGUGGCGCUCGAUUUCGAAGAAUCAAGUCUCUAAGGUUUGUGCUUUGCCGGAGGAGUAUCGAGCUUCGAAUUUAACUCCUAGUUGGAUUAGAUCUCAAGAUCUAGAGAAUCAAUAAAGACUUGGAAGUUUAAAAAAAAAAGCGCAAGAAGAUCUGAUAUAGCAUGGUAUCGUUUAUCCUCAGUAGGAAUCAGAGGUGAUUCAGUUGCUGAUUUGAGAAUCGUUAACUUUUUCAUAUGAUUACCAGGUCAAGAAAUUUUUCAUAUGAUUACCAGGUCAAGAAAUUAUCAUUCGGUCUGUUUUCUUUUUGCCGGCGAAUGUUCCAAACCGACGCGUGUUCACAAAGCGAUGAAGUUCGAUGUAAUAAGCAUCUGUGCGAUAAGCUUCCACGUUGAGAGAUGUGAUCGUGCGUUUUAAUUAUCUUUGCUUAAGGGUUUACUUUGUUGGGCUUGGUUUUCAUUUUCAGGUCCAGUAGAAAAUAAUGGCCUAUGUUUAUCUUGGUUUACUCAUAACCAAGCAUUGUAUGGUUUCUUUGGUUUUAUUAAUAAUAAUAAUAC
RNAcentral lists this long non-coding RNA (688 nucleotides) under Arabidopsis lyrata. RNAcentral's name for it is "long non-coding RNA (ALYR_LNC002024)". The record is from RNAcentral. Lineage: Eukaryota; Viridiplantae; Streptophyta; Magnoliopsida; Brassicales; Brassicaceae.